This 21-nucleotide non-coding RNA is filed under the name Rattus norvegicus (Norway rat). Lineage: Eukaryota; Metazoa; Chordata; Mammalia; Rodentia; Muridae. The record is from RNAcentral.
UUACAAAGGGAGAUGCUGACA